This is a long non-coding RNA of Lethenteron reissneri (Far Eastern brook lamprey), 827 nucleotides long. RefSeq lists it as uncharacterized. The record is from RefSeq and is a predicted model, not a curated record. NCBI's taxonomy places the organism in Eukaryota, Metazoa, Chordata, Hyperoartia, Petromyzontiformes, Petromyzontidae.
GUGGUAGUGGUUGUAGUGGUAGUUAUAGUAGUUAGGUAAUAGUGGUUGUGGUAGUGGUUAUAGUGGUAGUUAUAGUAGUUAGGUAAUAGUGGUUGUGGUAGUGGUUGUAGUGGUAGUUGCAGUAGUUAGGUAAUAGUGGUUGUAGUGGUAGUUAUAGUAGUUAGGUAAUGGUGGUUGUGGUAGUGGUUGUAGUGGUAGUUAUAGUAGUUAGGUAAAGGUGGUAGUGGUUGUAGUGGUAGUUAUAGUAGUUAGGUAAUCGUGGUUGUGGUUGUAGUGGUAGUUAUAGUAGUUAGGUAAUCGUGGUUGUGGUAGUGGUUGUAGUGGUAGUUAGCUAAUAGUGGUUGUAGUGGUAGUUAUAGUAGUUAGGUAAUAGUGGUUGUGGUAGUGGUUGUAGUGGUAGUUAUAGUAGUUAGGUAAUAGUGGUUGUGGUAGUGGUUAUAGUGGUAGUUAUAGUAGUUAGGUAAUAGUAGUUGUAGUGGUAGUUAUAGUAGUUAGGUAAUAGUGGUUGUGGUAGUGGUUGUAGUGGUAGUUAUAGUAGUUAGGUAAUAGUGGUUGUGGUAGUGGUUAUAGUGGUAGUUAUAGUAGUUAGGUAAUAGUAGUUGUAGUGGUAGUUAUAGUAGUUAGGUAAUAGUGGUUGUGGUAGUGGUUGUAGUGGUAGUUUUAGUAGUUAGGUAAGUGGUGGUUGUGGUAGUGGUUGUAGUGGUAGUUAUAGUAGUUAGGUAAUGGUGGUUGUGGUAGUGGUUGUAGUGGUAGUUAUAGUAGUUAGGUAAUGGUGGUUGUGGUAGUGGUUGUAGUGGUAGUUGUAGUAGUUAGGUAAUGGUGGUUGU